Molecule: long non-coding RNA, 493 nt
Organism: Drosophila navojoa
Lineage: Eukaryota; Metazoa; Arthropoda; Insecta; Diptera; Drosophilidae
Source: RefSeq, a predicted model, not a curated record
UUAUUACGAAUUAGCAACUCGUUGAAUGCGGUCGUGUGUUGAGCAUCCCGGCGAGCGCGUUGCGAAUAUUUUGUUUCGAAUUAAUUUGCGCGCGUUCUAAAUGAAAAUCAUUCUAAAUAAAUCUAAAUGAAAUAAAUGCUAAUUACAAGUGUAUGCAAAAACCAGUGUUUCAAUUUUUUUUUACAAUUUUGUUCAUGUUAAAUUUGGUGUGUGUGCAAAAAGGGUGUGUACUAAAAUAAAAAAAAAUCGUGUGCAGCUGUAAAAAGGAGCAGGAGUCACGACCAAAGCGGAGCGAACAAGAGAGGGAGCGAGAGAGCUCUUGUAAGCGCAAGCGGGAGAGGCAGGAAGUGCAUUGAUUUUUUUCCAACUUUUAUCGCCAUUUGGGAACACGGCGGGAAAACAGCUAAAAGCCAAAGAUACAGAGAUAACGUCUAGAUGCCUAACCUAAUGACUAGGCCAAGAGGUAAGUCCAGCAAGUUCGUUGCCUAAGUCU